AUGCAAGUCGAACGCAGUAGCAAUACUGAGUGGCAGACGGGUGAGUAUAAUGUGGGUAUCUGCCUUUUGGUUUGGAAUAACACGGGGAAACUUGUGCUAAUACCGAAUAAGCCUUUACAGGGAAAGUUUUAACGCCGAAAGAUGAGCCCGCACUUGAUUAGCUAGUUGGUAAGGUAAAAGCUUACCAAGGCAACGAUCAAUAGCUGUUCUUAGGGGAAGACCAGCCACAUUGGGACUGAGACACGGCCCAGACUCCUACGGGAGGCAGCAGUGGGGAAUCUUGCACAAUGGGGGAAACCCUGAUGCAGCGAUGCCGCGUGAGUGAAGAAGGCCCUUGGGUUGUAAAACUCUUUCGUCGGGGAAGAAAAUGACUGUACCCGAAUAAGAAGGUCCGGCUAACUUCGUGCCAGCAGCCGCGGUAAUACGAAGGGACCUAGCGUAGUUCGGAAUUACUGGGCUUAAAGAGCUCGUAGGUGGUUAAAAAAGUUGAUGGUGAAAUCCCAAGGCUUAACCUUGGAACUGCCAUCAAAACUUUUUAGCUAGAGUGUGAUAGAGGUAAGUGGAAUUUCUAGUGUAGAGGUGAAAUUCGUAGAUAUUAGAAAGAACACCAAAUGCGAAGGCAACUUACUGGGUCACUACUGACACUGAGGAGCGAAAGCAUGGGUAGCGAAGAGGAUUAGAUACCCUCGUAGUCCAUGCCGUAAACGAUGUGUGCUAGACGUUGGAAAUAUAUUUUUCAGUGUCGCAGCGAAAGCAUUAAGCACACCGCCUGGGGAGUACGACCGCAAGGUUAAAACUCAAAUGAAUUGACGGGGACCCGCACAAGCAGUGGAGCAUGUGGUUUAAUUCGAAGAUACGCGCAGAACCUUACCAACACUUGACAUGUUCGUCGCGAGACUAAGAGAUUAGUCUUUUCAGUUUGGCUGGACGAAACACAGGUGCUGCAUGGCUGUCGUCAGCUCGUGUCGUGAGA
This 973-nucleotide ribosomal RNA is filed under the name uncultured marine bacterium. RNAcentral describes it as "bacterial SSU rRNA". It matches the Rfam family "Bacterial small subunit ribosomal RNA", at positions 55 to 1072 of the family's 1533-position model. The record is from RNAcentral.